GUCUCUGCCUGUCUUCCCAAGACUGUUUCCUUUUUUUAAAAUAUAUUUUUUAGUUGUAGAUGGACCCAAUACUAUCAUUUGUUUAUUUUUAUGUGGUAUUAAGGAUCAAACCCAGUGCCUCACACAUGCUAGGUAAGCACUCUACCACUGAGCCACAACCCCAGCCCAAGCCUGUUUCCCUUUCAGACAUCACUGGGCUGGCCAUUCUGAAAUACUUCAUUUCCCCAACCAACACAGGCACCUGUUCUUCACUGAGCCUCCCAGUAAUGGCCUCUCCCUGGAUAGCACUUUUCUCCACUUUGAUUUGAGUUGUUUCAUUUGCUGAGUUGGCAGUGACUGACAUAUAAGCAGAAAUGGGCUUGGAAACCAUCCAGGGUGCUAUUCAGUGAGCUCUGACUUUUGAGACUGGGGUGAGCCAAGUGUACAAACACAGGAGAAGAUGAAAACGAAUCAGCAGUAGAAGUUGAGGACUGGAGAAUAAAAGGACAGAUGAAGUAUGUCCUAAGAUGUGACAGGCAACAAACAGCAGCAAGUGCUGUAGGAGGGGGAAAUCGAACUGGUCAAAGAAAAAGUGACAAUGAGGUGAAGCCAAAAUGUCAAAAGGAUGGCACUGGAACAUUACUAGUGGCCACACCUGACAUUGUACACUUAGGAAGCAUAUGUUUCUGAUCACUUUGUGUAAGCAAGCUAUGUUAAUUAUU
This 701-nucleotide long non-coding RNA is filed under the name Marmota monax (woodchuck). Lineage: Eukaryota; Metazoa; Chordata; Mammalia; Rodentia; Sciuridae. The record is from RNAcentral.